GGUUGAUUCUGGCUCAGAUUGAACGCUGGCGGGAUGCUUUACACAUGCAAGUCGAACGGCAGCACGACUUCGGUCUGGUGGCGAGUGGCGAACGGGUGAGUAAUGUAUCGAACGUGCCUAGUAGCGGGGGAUAACUUUCAGCGUGAAAGCGUAGCCAAUACCAUACUGCCCUUCGGGGGAAAGCGGGGGACCUUCGGGCCUCGCACCAUUAGAGCGGCCGAUAUCGGAUUAGCUAGUUGGUGUAACGGCUUCUCUCACCGCGCGACGAUCCGUGGCCGGUUUGAGAGGACGACCAGCCACACUGGGACCGAGACACGGCCCAGACUCCUACGGGAGGCAGCAGUGGGGAAUUUUGACAAUGGGGAAACCCUUGAUCCAGCCAUCCUGCGUGUGCGAUGAAGGCCCCCGCUGUGUGCCACCGCAGGAAAGAAACGGUAUCGAUACCCAGUAACUGACGGUACCUGCAGAAUAAGCACCGGCUAACUACGUGCCAGCAGCCGCGGUAAUACGUAGGUGCAAGCGUUAAUCGGAAUUACUGGGCGUAAAGCGUGCGCAGGCGGUUCGGAAAGAAAGAUGUGAAAUCCCAGAGCUUAACUUUGGAACUGCAUUUUUUAACUACCGAGCUAGAGUGUGUCAGAGGGAGGUGGAAUUCUGCGUGGGGUAGUGAAAUGCGUAGAUAUGCGGAGGAACACCGAUGGCGAAGGCAGCCUCUGGGACACGACUGAUGCGCUCAUGCACGAAAGCGGGGAGCAAAACAGGAUUAGAUACUCCUGGUAGUCCACGCCCUAAACGAUGUCAACUAGCUGUUGGGGCCUGGGCCUUGGUAGCAGCCAACGCGGUGAAGUUGACCGCCUGGGGAAUACGGUCGCAAGAUUAAACUCAAAGGAAUUGACGGGGACCCGCACAAGCGGUGGAUGAUGUGGAUUAAUUCGAUGCAACGCGAAAACCUACCUACCCUUGACAUGUCUGGAAUCCCGAAGAGAUUUGGGAGUGCUCGCAAGAGAACUGAACACAGGUGCUGUAUGGCUGUCGUCAGUCUGUGUCGUGAGAUGUUGGGUUAAGUCCCGCAACGAGCGCAACCCUUGUCAUUAGUUGCUGCUGAAAGGGCAAUUUAAUGAGACUGCCGGUGACAAACCGGAGGAAGGUGGGGAUGACGUCAAGUCCUCAUGGCCCUUGCGGGUAGGGGCUUCACGUCAUACAAUGGUCGGGACAGAGGGUCGCCAACCUGAAGGAGAGGAGCCAUCCUGUGAAACCCGGAUCGUAGUCCGGAUCGCAGUUCGCAACUCGACUGCGUGAAGUCGGAAUCGCUAGUAAUCGCGGAUCAGCAUGUCGCGGUGAAUACGUUCCCGGGUCUGUACACACCGCCCGUCACACCAUGGGAGUGGGUUUUACCAGAAGUAGUUAGCCUAACCGUAAGUGAGGGCGAUUACUACGGUAGGAUUCAUGAUUGGGGUGAAGCGUAACAUGCAG
This 1470-nucleotide ribosomal RNA is filed under the name uncultured Bordetella sp. RNAcentral describes it as "partial 16S-23S ribosomal RNA intergenic spacer". It matches the Rfam family "Bacterial small subunit ribosomal RNA". The record is from RNAcentral. Lineage: Bacteria; Pseudomonadati; Pseudomonadota; Betaproteobacteria; Burkholderiales; Alcaligenaceae.